UGGGGAAUUUUGCACAAUGGGGGAAACCCUGAUGCAGCGACGCCGCGUGAUGUAGAAGGCCUUCGGGUUGUAAAAAUCUUUUUUAUGGGAUGAAAAUGACAGUACCAUAAGAAUAAGGUCCGGCUAAAUACGUGCCAGCAGCCGCGGUAAUACGUAUGGACCGAGCGUUGUCCGGAAUCAUUGGGCGUAAAGGGUACGUAGGCGGCCCAGUAAGUUAGGAGUGAAAUAAUAUAGCUCAACUAUAUAAAGCGUUUAAAACUGCUAGGCUUGAGAGAUGGAAGGGAAAGUGGAAUUCCUAGUGUAGCGGUGAAAUGCGCAGAUAUUAGGAAGAAUACCGGUGGAGAAGGCGACUUUCUGGUCAUCAUCUGACGCUGAGGUACGAAAGCGUGGGUAGCUAACAGG
This 402-nucleotide ribosomal RNA is filed under the name Verrucomicrobiota bacterium. RNAcentral describes it as "Verrucomicrobia bacterium partial 16S ribosomal RNA". It matches the Rfam family "Bacterial small subunit ribosomal RNA", at positions 355 to 776 of the family's 1533-position model. Lineage: Bacteria; Pseudomonadati; Verrucomicrobiota. The record is from RNAcentral.